GGGUUCUUCCAUGGAAAAAAACACCCAGGAAAGAAAUGUUCUCCCUUAGUCCUAGAGCUGGCCAGAAACCACAGCUAUAGCUCCCUAAUAGCAGAACUUCACACAGAUUUCAGGAGUGCAGCAGUAAAACAUUAGAAAUCCUUACUUGGCUGAUUGAUGAGACAGAGAUGGAGCAAAAGAGCCUUUGGUGCCUCAGCAUUACCUCUGACAACUUGGUGGAUCCUGUUUAUCACUAAUCAUCAAACAGAGAUACAACAGCAGCAAUAUGUCUUGCUCCAGGAGAUGUAACUUGGUCCGAAGAAAAACAAGUACUAAAAUCUGACAAUGCUCUGCAGAAGACAGUGUCUUUUCUCUGCCCAUUUCUUAUACUGCUUGAGAGGGUGGUAAGUUUGGACACAAGCACUUUCUAAAUAUAAACAUAUCUAAAUAGUACAGUUAUACCCAAAUUGUGCUAGAGAAAGGAAGACUCCCAUUUGCUCACUAUGGUGUCUUAACCUAGGUCUGCUUUGCCACUCAAAAGAUCGGGGCUUUUUGCACGAUUCCCCAAAAAAGACUAAUCUUGAUUUAGCACAGGAAUUCAGAAACAAGUGGUUAGCAAUUACUAACAUACAAAA
RNAcentral lists this long non-coding RNA (614 nucleotides) under Calidris pugnax (ruff). RNAcentral describes it as "lncRNA (ENSCPUG00000019233.1)". Lineage: Eukaryota; Metazoa; Chordata; Aves; Charadriiformes; Scolopacidae. The record is from RNAcentral.